Molecule: RNA transcript, 4306 nt
Organism: Pongo pygmaeus (Bornean orangutan)
Lineage: Eukaryota; Metazoa; Chordata; Mammalia; Primates; Hominidae
Gene: POC1A
Gene name: POC1 centriolar protein A
Exons: 12
Source: RefSeq, a predicted model, not a curated record
ACUUAGAAAAUUUAUUUUGCUAAGGUUAAGGACACACCCAUGACACAGCCUCAGGAGGUCCUGACAACAUGUGCCCAAGUGGCCUGGGCACAGCAUGGUUUUAUACAUUUUAGGGAGACAAAAUACAUCAAUCAAUACAUGUAAGAUUUACAUUGGUUGGAUCUGGAAGGACAAGACAACUCGAAGUGGGAAACUUCCAGGUCAUUGGUAGAUUUAAACAUAUUCUGAUUGGCAAUUGGUUGAAAGAAUUAUUAUCAGUAGAAAGGGAUAUCUCGGUUAAGAUAAGGGGUUAUGGAGACCAAGGUUUUACCAUGCAGAUAAAGCCUCCAGGUAGCAGGUUUCAGAGAAAAUAGAUCGUAAAUGUUUCUUAUCAGACUUAAGGUUUUUGUUGAUGUUAAUGCUGGAGGGUAUAAUGAGGCAUGUCCAACCUCCACUUCCCAUCAUGGCCUGAACCACUCUUUCAGGUUAAAUUUGAGUGCCCUGGACAAGCAGGGAGUCUAUUCAGAUGGUUGCUGGUGGCCUUCAAAUUUUAUUUUAUAUAUAUAUAUUUUUUGAGACGGAGUCUCCCUCUGUUGCCCAGGCUGGAGUGCAGCGGCAAGAUCUUGGCUCACUGCAACCUCUGCCUCCGGAGUUCGAACAAUUCUUCUCCCUCAGCCUCCCGAGUAGCUGGGUUUACAGGCGCGUGCCACCACGCCCGGCUAAUUUUUGUAUUUUUAGUAGACAUGGGGUUUCACCAUGUUGGCCAGGCUGGUCUCAUACUCCUGACCUCAGGUGAUCCACCCACCUCGGCCUCCCAGAGUGGCAAAGUGCUGAGAUUACAGGCGUGAGCCACUGAGCCCGGCCUCUCCUUCUUUUUAAGACUGGGUUUCCAACAGCUUCUCAGGCCUUAAGGAUCCUGACAGGGCCGGACUGCACCACACUCCCUCGUGUUACAAAUGAGAAACUGGGGCACAGAGCAGAGGCGUUUUUCCUGAGAUCACACAGCCAAUCAGGGCGAGAACUGAGAAUCGAACCUUGAUCUCUCCACUCCAUGGUUGUGAUUCCGAGUAACUCAUGUUAUUUUAAAUCCACACUUGUCUUAAGAACGUUCGGACGGGCGAACCAUUGAGAGUUCCCGAGGGGCGAAUACUCAGCUCUCAAUAGGUUCCUGCGGGGAAAACCUGGCUGCGCCGGCGCGCGCGGGUGCUUUAAGGCAAUCUGGUCACAGCAACCCACGUGUCCUCCGCUUCCGGGAUCCUUAAGGCCGUCGCUUCGGGUGGUAAAACCCGGCCCGCCCUCACGUCAUGUUGGGAAGUGUAGCUCCACCUUCCUCCAGACAUAGGGGCGUGGGCGGCUUGGAACUGCAUUUCCCAUCAGGCUGCGCUCGCCAUUAGAGUAGCCGGACGACGGGCUGGUGGGGUGAACCCCUCAUCCUGGGUCUUUUAAUUUCUCAGGCGGAACGAGUGGCGGCGGACAGAGGCCUUUGGCUGCGCUGUCUGUGGGUUGUCUGGGCUUGGGGAACUGGGCACGGAGACCGUGGCGUCGGCUGCCGGUCAUACAGCUCUGCUUCCAGUCGUCGGGCAAAAAGCUGAGGCGCUUCUCCUUUAAUUGCGGUGGGCGGGGCGUGCCGACGCGGCCCGCGUUGCUAUUGGUGGCCGUUGGGGGCGCGGAAACUGAACCGGCCGCAACGGCUACCGCAGCUGCCUUCGGCGCCGCCAUCCCCGCCAUGGCUGCGCCCUGCGCGGAGGACCCCUCGCUGGAAAGGCAUUUUAAGGGCCACCGAGAUGCAGUUACCUGUGUGGACUUCAGUAUCAACACAAAGCAGCUGGCCAGUGGCUCCAUGGACUCAUGCCUCAUGGUCUGGCACAUGAAGCCGCAGUCACGCGCCUACCGCUUCACUGGCCACAAGGAUGCCGUCACCUGUGUGAACUUCUCUCCUUCGGGACACCUGCUUGCUUCCGGCUCCCGAGACAAGACUGUCCGCAUCUGGGUACCCAAUGUCAAAGGUGAGUCAACUGCGUUUCGUGCACACACAGCCACAGUGAGGAGCGUCCACUUCUGCAGUGAUGGCCAGUCCUUCGUGACAGCCUCUGACGACAAGACAAUCAAAGUGUGGGCAACUCAUCGCCAGAAAUUCCUGUUUUCCCUGAGCCAGCAUAUCAACUGGGUCCGCUGUGCCAAGUUCUCCCCCGACGGGCGGCUCAUCGUGUCUGCCAGUGAUGACAAGACUGUUAAGCUGUGGGACAAGAGCAGCCGGGAAUGUGUCCACUCAUAUUGCGAGCAUGGCGGCUUUGUCACCUACGUGGACUUCCACCCCAGUGGGACGUGCAUUGCCGCUGCCGGCAUGGACAACACAGUGAAGGUGUGGGACGUGCGGACUCACCGGCUGCUGCAGCAUUAUCAGUUGCACAGUGCAGCAGUGAACGGGCUCUCUUUCCACCCGUCGGGAAACUACCUGAUCACGGCCUCCAGUGACUCAACCUUGAAGAUCCUGGACCUGAUGGAGGGCCGGCUGCUCUACACACUCCACGGGCAUCAGGGACCAGCCACCACUGUUGCCUUUUCAAGAACGGGGGAGUAUUUUGCUUCUGGAGGCUCUGAUGAACAAGUGAUGGUUUGGAAGAGUAACUUUGAUAUUGUUGAUCAUGGAGAAGUCAUGAAAGUGCCGAGGCCCCCAGCCACACUGGCCAGCUCCAUGGGGAAUCUGAUUUCUAGGUGAUGCUGAUGCUGCUGAUCCAGGGACUCACUUGGAGAACCACUGGUCUUUUGGAAAACAGUCUAGCCUGUUGUGACCAUGGCAUCCUGGGCAGGGGAAUUAAGGGAAGAAGAAAGUCUCUUUAUCUUCGAAGUUUCUAUGACUCGUCGUGGGUACAGCUUGGGAGAGGCAAUCAGAAAAUCAGUGUCCCUCGCAGCCCACUGUAGUCUGCUGCUUUCCAGAAGAGGAAAAGGGCAGCCAGCAGCACCAGACUCUGGCCCAUUCCAUGACAAUGCUGGCUGUGAGACAGAAGAGUUCCCUGCUCACACCCUUCCUCCAGUGGAAGAGUGUGUGUCUGCACUGCUAGGGGGUCCUCUGGAAGGAGUGGGCACAGCACUGAACAUUUCUUAAGAAAGGCCUGCUGGUAGCUUCAGAUAAGCACCUCUCACAGCCCAGCCGUUUGAAGGACUGGCCCAGUCUUCAUCCCUAUUUUAUAGAUGAGGAAGUGGAGGCCCAGAGCUGGUCAGUGACUGUGUGAGUCACCAUUCCUCACCACUACACUCUGCUGUGUCUCCUGACAGAACUGCCUUAGUCUAGGGGCCACUGUGGUAGGCUGAAGUCUCUCCUGGCAAGGCUGGUGGACUUCUGAAAUUUAAGGUUGGGAUGGGCUUCUGGGUAAGCAUUGAGAUCUGAAGCACGUUGAUUCCUGGAUGACUGGAAGAGACCCAGCCCUGAUGGCCGAAGUCUUAGAAAUGGCCAUGGAAGUGGCCAACAUGCUGAUGAUGGGUAUGUGGACACGGUGCUGCUCAUGCUCUCAAGAAUAUCCCUCUGGCUCAUGUCUCACAUUCAAGUUCUCCUGUAGCUACCACAAGGGCCAGCAUUUUUCCAAGUUCAAAUCAGCAUGCCCUUGAAAGUUUGUGAUCUAUGAGAAUAGAAUACUUACCUAAUAAAGGAAAACAUGCAGGUAGGGUCCAUGUGCUGAACCGCAUUCCCACGGAAACAAGUCCACAGAGGAACUGCAGGCUCUAAGACCAGCUCUGCCCUUGGACACCUAUGGCUCCAGCAUCCCGCCCACUGAACAUGUGCACAGCACUUCCUUGGUCCACAGAAGCCUUUGUGCAUAAGGCAAGGAGCUGACUUUGCUGAAUUUAGGGGCUGAAGGGCCUUACGCAGAAACACUAAGCCCCUCACCUCCUGGAGUCCUAUCUGAAGCAGCCCAGGGGUGCCUUUCCUGUGGAUUCUGAUUCCUGCCAGCCAUGUGCCAGCCUGGGACAUGCACACAGAAAUCUUUGUUUUUCCAGGGGAUCUGUGCCAGGGUGGGGUUGGAACACCCGUUUCCCCGCCACACACACACUUCCACCAAGUUCUGGGCCACAGCUUCUCGGGCCUGGGAAAGGCAUUUGUGAAGCCUGGCACAUCCCCAUGUUGAAGGGUGGGGAAUUAGAGUUGAGCUGACCAGGAAGAGGAGGGACUUCAGGCCCAGGCCAGGCUUCAGCAUCUCUGGACUCACCUGGAUGCCUGCUGCCAGAAGUGGACUUCCCUGUCCCUCCAGGCAGAGGCAGGAGUGUGGAGUCUGUGCAGAGCCAGCCCCAGGAGCCUGUGAGCAUGCCCCAGACACUGACUAGCACGCUG